Saccostrea cuccullata (small rock oyster) is the source of this 463-nucleotide long non-coding RNA. RefSeq lists it as uncharacterized. The transcript has 3 exons. The record is from RefSeq and is a predicted model, not a curated record. NCBI's taxonomy places the organism in Eukaryota, Metazoa, Mollusca, Bivalvia, Ostreida, Ostreidae.
GACUUGAGUCUAUGGGUAUGGGAAACCAUUUUGCAGUAAUUAGGAAUGUGCAGGUGAAAGUGGUAAACUUCCUUCUAUUGCAACUUUUCGGGCCUUUCUGACAAACAAAAACCAUGGUCAACCUGCUAGAAGUUUCUUUGGCGCCACGACAACCAUAUUCCAAUGUCAAGGUCAAAAAUCAAAGGCCAGAACUGAUGUCAGCUGGAAAGAUACCACAUUGUGUAUUGGACUUGCAAGUUCAAAGGUCAAGGAUCAAAGGUCAGAACUGAUGUCAGAUGGAAAGAUACCACAUUGUGGAAUGAAUUUGCAUGCUGGAUAGUAAAUGAAUGCACCAGUUUCAAGUUCAAAGGAUUGAUGUAGAAGCCUGGAUGCUUUGCCGAUGGUUUCAUUUCCUGUGGAUAUUAUAUGGACAUUGAUGGGUGCUACUGCUUGGUGCAAAGCAAUAAUGACAUUUUGUAGCCUG